Molecule: ribosomal RNA, 253 nt
Filed under: uncultured bacterium
Lineage: Bacteria
Description: partial 16S ribosomal RNA
Rfam family: Bacterial small subunit ribosomal RNA
Source: RNAcentral
UACAGAGGGUGCAAGCGUUGUUCGGCAUUAUUGGGCGUAAAGGGCGCGUAGGCGGCCGCGUAUGUCCGGUGUGAAAGCCCACCUCUUAAAGGUGGAAUUGCAUCGGAAACUACGUGGCUGGAGUGUCGGAGAGGAUGGUGGAAUUCCUGGUGUAGAGGUGAAAUUCGUAGAUAUCAGGAGGAACACCGGUGGCGAAGGCGGCCACCUGGACGACUACUGACGCUGAGGCGCGAAAGCGUGGGGAUCAAACAGG